Molecule: ribosomal RNA, 301 nt
Filed under: uncultured bacterium
Lineage: Bacteria
Description: partial 16S ribosomal RNA
Rfam family: Bacterial small subunit ribosomal RNA
Source: RNAcentral
CAGUCGCCACGGUAAUACGGAGGGGGCUAGCGUUGUUCGGAAUUACUGGGCGUAAAGCGCACGUAGGCGGCUUGGUAAGUUAGAGGUGUAAGCCUGGAGCUCAACUCCAGAAUUGCCUUUAAGACUGCCGAGCUAGCAGGUGAGAGAGGUAAGUGGAAUUCCGAGUGUAGAGGUGAAAUUCGUAGAUAUUCGGAAGAACACCAGUGGCGAAGGCGGCUUACUGGCUCAUACUGGACGCUGAGGUGCGAAAGCGUGGGGAGCAAACAGGAUUAGAUACCCGAGUAGUCCCUGUCUCUUAUAC